AGAGUUUGAUCCUGGCUCAGGAUGAACGCUGGCGGCAUGCCUAAUACAUGCAAGUCGAACGGGGUGCUUGCACCCAGUGGCGAACGGGUGAGUAACACGUAUCUAAUCUACCUUUUAGUGGGGGAUAACAGUUGGAAACGACUGCUAAUACCGCAUACGACGUCAUUAUCGCAUGAGAAGACGUUAAAAGAUCCGUUUGGAUCGCUAGAAGAUGAGGAUGCGGCGUAUUAGCUAGUAGGUGAGGUAAUGGCUCACCUAGGCGAUGAUACGUAGCCGAACUGAGAGGUUGAUCGGCCACAUUGGGACUGAGAUACGGCCCAGACUCCUACGGGAGGCAGCAGUAGGGAAUUUUUCACAAUGGACGAAAGUCUGAUGAAGCAAUGCCGCGUGAGUGAUGACGGUCUUCGGAUUGUAAAGCUCUGUUGUAAGGGAAGAAAUGGUAGGAUAGGAAAUGAUCCUGCUUUGACGGUACCUUACCAGAAAGCCACGGCUAACUAUGUGCCAGCAGCCGCGGUAAUACAUAGGUGGCAAGCGUUAUCCGGAUUUAUUGGGCGUACAGGGUGCGUAGGUGGUUCGAUAAGUUUAGGGUUAAAUCCCGGGGCUCAACCCCGGUUCGCCUUGAAAACUGUCGUACUAGAAUACAGAAGAGGUAGAUGGAAUUCCAUGUGUAGCGGUGAAAUGCGUAGAUAUAUGGAGGAACACCAGUGGCGUACGCGGUCUACUGGUCUGUUAUUGACACUGAGGCACGAAAGCGUGGGGAGCAAAUAGGAUUAGAUACCCUAGUAGUCCACGCCGUAAACGUUGAGUACUAAGUGUCGGCAUUAGUCGGUGCUGCAGCUAACGCAUUUAAGUACUCCGCUUGAGUAGUAUGCGCCGCAGCCGUGAAACUUUAAGGGAAUGACUGGGACUCGCACAAGUGGAUGGAGCAUGUGGAUUGAUUCG
Molecule: ribosomal RNA, 942 nt
Filed under: uncultured bacterium
Lineage: Bacteria
Description: bacterial SSU rRNA
Rfam family: Bacterial small subunit ribosomal RNA
Source: RNAcentral